AAAGAUUCUUCUCUCUACAUCACUGACAAAACAAUUUGAACUUUUGGCUCUUGACUUGGAAGUAUCAAAAGCUCUCCAUAUCACUGUCAUUGGUUGCUACAGACCACCUUCAGCUGUCAGUGACGCUUUACCAUCUUUAAUGCAGCUUUUGUCCAGUCUUAACUAUAGUGAAAGGGUCAUUGUGGGUGACCUUAACUGGAACUGGCUGCUACCAGCAUCAGAGGACUUUAAAAAAUACUGCAAUUCCUUAAAUCUCUUUCAGAUUGUUGGUAGUCCCACUAGAACCAAUCUGAAAUCUCCUGAAAAAUCCUCCUUAAUUGAUCUUAUCCUUACAAAUACUCCUCAUAAAUACACCACUGCUUCUGUAUUUGCAAAUGACAUCAGUGACCACUGUGUUAUUGCUACAGUAAGGAAUACAAAAGUCCCUAAGACAAAACCCUGUGUCAUCAUAAAGCGUGAUAUGAAACAUUUUGUGGAGCAAGGUUUCUUUCACGACCUGUUUCUCUUCGAUUGGGAGAAAAUCAAUCUCAUAUCCGAUGUUGAAAAUGCCUGGAAAUUCUUUUAUGAUGGUUUUAUUAUUUUUGAUAGGCACGCCCCCUUAAGAAAGUACAGAGUAAAAGGCACAGAUAAUGCAUGGUUCACAUCAGAUCUCUCUGAUUUACUUCACGAGCGCAAUGUGGCAUGGUCAAAAGCCAGGAGUACAGGUCUUGGGUCGGAUUGGCUGCUCUUCAGGCAGCUGCGAAAUGCAUGCACUGUUAAAAUCAGAAAAGCCAAAUCUGAUUAUUUCCAAACUGAAACCGCAAAUAACUUAAAUAAUCCCCUUAAAUUCUGGAAAACUAUUAAAUCAAUAGCUGGAAAUAAAAAUGUGAUAGAGCUUCCACCUUGUAUUGUCAAAGACUCUCUUCAAAUCUCUGACAAGGCAGAAAUGCUUGGUUGUUUUAAUGAACAUUUUAUUGCCUCUGGUUCCUUGUUUGAAUCUCAGAACAUACCUCAAGGAGCCCCUGCUCACUCUGAAGGUCGUGUCUGGCCGGGUCAAACCUUUACUUUUAAUCCAGUAACAAUCUCAGAGGUGCAUAAAGCCCUUAAAAGUUUAGACACAAGAAAAUCAGCAGGUCCGGAUAACCUGGAGCCAUACUUUUUAAAGUUAGCAGCUGAUUUCCUCGCCUCGCCCCUGGCCUAUCUUUUCAAUCUAUCCCUGGAGACAAACGAAAUUCCCCUUAUUUGGAAAUCUGUUUUUGUUCUCCCACUGUUGAAAGGGGGUGACCCCACUCUCC
Molecule: long non-coding RNA, 1274 nt
Filed under: Cottoperca gobio
Lineage: Eukaryota; Metazoa; Chordata; Actinopteri; Perciformes; Bovichtidae
Description: lncRNA (ENSCGOG00000018790.1)
Source: RNAcentral